This 449-nucleotide ribosomal RNA is filed under the name uncultured bacterium. RNAcentral describes it as "partial 16S ribosomal RNA". It matches the Rfam family "Bacterial small subunit ribosomal RNA", at positions 29 to 523 of the family's 1533-position model. The record is from RNAcentral.
AAUGAACGCUGGCGGCAGGCCUAACACAUGCAAGUCGAGCGGAUCCUUCGGGAUUAGUGGCGGACGGGUGAGUAACGCGUGGGAACAUACCCUUUGGUACGGAAUAGCCUCGGGAAACUGGGAGUAAUACCGUAUGUGGUCGAGAGACGAAAGAUUUAUCGCCAAAGGAUUGGCCCGCGUUGGAUUAGGUAGUUGGUGGGGUAAUGGCCCACCAAGCCGACGAUCCAUAGCUGGUUUGAGAGGAUGAUCAGCCACACUGGGACUGAGACACGGCCCAGACUCCUACGGGAGGCAGCAGUGGGGAAUCUUAGACAAUGGGGGAAACCCUGAUCUAGCCAUGCCGCGUGAUCGAUGAAGGCCUUAGGGUUGUAAAGAUUUUUCAGGUGGGAAGAUAAUGACUGUACCACCAGAAGAAGCCCCGGCUAACUCCGUGCCAGCCGCCGCCGUAA